CGAAGGAUCCUAGCGUUGUCCGGAUUUACUGGGUUUAAAGGGUGCGUAGGCGGACUUUUAAGUCAGUGGUGAAAGCUUGCAGCUUAACUGUAAAAUUGCCAUUGAAACUGAGAGUCUCGAGUACGGUUGAGGUAGCUGGAAUGUAUCAUGUAGCGGUGAAAUGCUUAGAUAUGAUACAGAACACCAAUUGCGAAGGCAGGCUACUAAACCGUAACUGACGCUGAGGCACGAAAGCGUGGGGAUCAAACAGGAUUAGAUACCCUGGUAGUCCACGCCCUAAACUUUGCAUACUCGGCCUUAGCGAUAUACUGUUAGGACCCAAGCGAAAGCGUUAAGUAUGCCACCUGGGAAGUACGAUCGCAAGGUUG
RNAcentral lists this ribosomal RNA (368 nucleotides) under uncultured organism. RNAcentral's name for it is "bacterial SSU rRNA". It matches the Rfam family "Bacterial small subunit ribosomal RNA", at positions 526 to 896 of the family's 1533-position model. The record is from RNAcentral.